RNAcentral lists this non-coding RNA (202 nucleotides) under bovine gut metagenome. RNAcentral describes it as "glmS glucosamine-6-phosphate activated ribozyme". It matches the Rfam family "glmS glucosamine-6-phosphate activated ribozyme aptamer", at positions 11 to 151 of the family's 167-position model. From Rfam's summary of the family: This entry contains a glucosamine-6-phosphate activated ribozyme that is found in the mRNA for GlmS. The record is from RNAcentral.
UAGCGCCAGUACCUGUAUGAUGGGAUUGCCGGUGGGUUUUAUUGAUUGUUUAAUGUACGGUUUAUGCGAUAAAACGAAAAUGGACAGAGUAUAUGCAGGUUGACGAGGAGGAAGGUUAUCGAAAUUUCGGCGGAUGCUUUCCCGCACUAUUACCGGGUGCGAUAUGCAGGAUUAAAUAUGAGGGCAACUUCAAAACAGAGGU